Molecule: long non-coding RNA, 359 nt
Filed under: Nicotiana tabacum (common tobacco)
Lineage: Eukaryota; Viridiplantae; Streptophyta; Magnoliopsida; Solanales; Solanaceae
Description: long non-coding RNA (NTAB_LNC010020)
Source: RNAcentral
AAGAAGCUAGCCUUGAACAAAGGGUAUUACUCAUUUCUUCUUCAUUUAAUCCUUUUCGCGUUCGCUUUGAAUAUAGUCAGCGAAAUGAUUGUGCCGUUUCUCUGCUUGCUUGCAGCGGCUAUCGGUCCUCCAGUUCCUGAACAGCCAGAUGGAAAAUAAACAGCCUGUUUCAAGUGCCUGAAUGAAGUCUUUUUCCAAUAUAGCAUGAAGGAUACUUUGCUUGUUAACUUUCCUGCUGGUUUGAAGUCUAUAUAUAUUGCAACUUUAGUUUAGAGGCAAUCUCAGAUACAUUUUAUCAGUGUGUAAAUGCAUCUUAAGUGAUAAGUUCUGACAGAUCCCCAACUGCUAUACCAGUGGCA